UUUCCGUAGGUGAACCUGCGGAAGGAUCAUUACUGAGUGAGGGCCCCUCGGGGUCCCACCUCCCACCCGUGUUUAACGAACCGUGUUGCUUCGGCUGGCCCGCCUCACGGCCGCCGGGGGGCAUCUGCCCCCGGGCCCGCGCCCGCCGAAGCCACCUGUGAACGCUGUCUGAAGUAUGCAGUCUGAGACAAUUAUUAAAUUAAUUAAAACUUUCAACAACGGAUCUCUUGGUUCCG
RNAcentral lists this unclassified non-coding RNA (236 nucleotides) under plant metagenome. RNAcentral's name for it is "partial contains small subunit ribosomal RNA, internal transcribed spacer 1, and 5.8S ribosomal RNA". The record is from RNAcentral.